Physeter macrocephalus (sperm whale) is the source of this 864-nucleotide long non-coding RNA. RefSeq lists it as uncharacterized. The record is from RefSeq and is a predicted model, not a curated record. The transcript has 3 exons. NCBI's taxonomy places the organism in Eukaryota, Metazoa, Chordata, Mammalia, Artiodactyla, Physeteridae.
GUGCACCGACUAUCCGCGCCCAGGGGUCCGGCUGUAGCCAAGGUCAUUGCACCUGGCGGGGGUGGGGCGGCCCAGGUGAUUCUGGGAACCCUCAUCGCACCCCCACCUUUCUCCCUCCCCUGCUUCUCAGAGCAGAGAGAGACCACGAGGACAUGGCCCGCCCAGAGCGCUGAGACGAGUUGAGACUCAGGGCUUAGAGACUUCAGAGGAAUCAACACCCAGCCUCCUCCAGUCUCCGAGACAGGAUGGGGGACGCAUCCCAGACCACAGCCAACGCAAAGACAUCGCUCCCUUCCCAUGCGCCCCCCGGCCCUCACCUGCCACGUCCCCCAGGCCCUCAGGAUCAAGGUCAAGUACUUCUGCCUUGCACUCAGGGCCCAACGCCAUCUUCCAGUGACCUACUUUCCCAGCCGUGUCACCCAUUUCUCUGGCCUCAAACCCCAGCCCCCACCAACCUGGAUGAUUUGCCAUCUCUGGAACACAGCAGAUGUUCUCACACUCCCAGACUUUUCUACAGAAAAGAAAACUGAGGCUCAGAGAAAGGAAUUUCAUUGCUCAACCUCAAACACCCAGGAAGCGGUAGAGCCGGAAUUGGAACUCAACUUCCAACAUGGCGGUGGACAUGGCCCAUCUCUUGGGGCCCCCUCUGGUUCCACCUUACUAUAAUAUGGGAUGGGUGGAUUUGGGAGGAGUUUUUGAGAGCCCUGUGGGAAAGGAGGGAGGUGGUAGGCAGUGGGGAGUGGAAGAACCUCUAAGAGAGAGAAUGAAGUCCCCAACUCUAGGCAUUUGCCAGUGGCCUUCAUGGUUUUUCCAUCCCCACAUGCCAUGCAUGCUUAUUUAUGGGAUGUUUUUCUCCAAAGUGAC